GCGGGUAUAGCUCAGUGGUUGAGUGUGUGCUUCACAUGUACAAGGUUCCAGGUUUGAUCCCUGGUACCUCCU
RNAcentral lists this transfer RNA (72 nucleotides) under Dasypus novemcinctus (nine-banded armadillo). RNAcentral describes it as "tRNA-Val (CAC) (tRNA-Val-CAC-10-1)". It matches the Rfam family "tRNA". Rfam says of the family: Transfer RNA (tRNA) molecules are approximately 80 nucleotides in length. Their secondary structure includes four short double-helical elements and three loops (D, anti-codon, and T loops). Lineage: Eukaryota; Metazoa; Chordata; Mammalia; Cingulata; Dasypodidae. The record is from RNAcentral.